AGUGAACGCUGGCGGCAGGCCUAACACAUGCAAGUCGAGCGGCAGCGGGUCCUUCGGGAUGCCGGCGAGCGGCGGACGGGUGAGGAAUGCGUCGGAAUCUGCCUUUUUGUGGGGGAUAACGUAGGGAAACUUACGCUAAUACCGCAUACGACCUACGGGUGAAAGUGGGGGACCGCAAGGCCUCACGCAGAAAGAUGAGCCGACGUCGGAUUAGCUAGUUGGCGGGGUAAAGGCCCACCAAGGCGACGAUCCGUAGCUGGUCUGAGAGGAUGAUCAGCCACACGGGAACUGAGACACGGUCCAGACUCCUACGGGAGGCAGCAGUGGGGAAUAUUGGACAAUGGGCGCAAGCCUGAUCCAGCCAUGCCGCGUGUGUGAAGAAGGCCUUCGGGUUGUAAAGCACUUUUGUCCGGAAAGAAAUCCUGUCGGCUAAUACCCGGCGGGGAUGACGGUACCGGAAGAAUAAGCACCGGCUAACUUCGUG
This 484-nucleotide ribosomal RNA is filed under the name uncultured bacterium. RNAcentral's name for it is "partial 16S ribosomal RNA". It matches the Rfam family "Bacterial small subunit ribosomal RNA", at positions 29 to 507 of the family's 1533-position model. The record is from RNAcentral.